RNAcentral lists this ribosomal RNA (442 nucleotides) under uncultured soil bacterium. Its description in RNAcentral is "bacterial SSU rRNA". It matches the Rfam family "Bacterial small subunit ribosomal RNA", at positions 26 to 518 of the family's 1533-position model. The record is from RNAcentral.
AGAACGAACGCUGGCGGCAUGCCUAACACAUGCAAGUCGAACGAGACCUUCGGGUCUAGUGGCGCACGGGUGCGUAACGCGUGGGAAUCUGCCCUUAGGUUCGGAAUAACAGUUAGAAAUGACUGCUAAUACCGGAUAAUGACGUAAGUCCAAAGAUUUAUCGCCUAGGGAUGAGCCCGCGUAGGAUUAGCUAGUUGGUGGGGUAAAAGCCUACCAAGGCGACGAUCCUUAGCUGGUCUGAGAGGAUGAUCAGCCACACUGGGACUGAGACACGGCCCAGACUCCUACGGGAGCAGCAGUGGGGAAUAUUGGAUAAUGGGCGAAAGCCUGAUCCAGCAAUGCCGCGUGAGUGAUGAAGGCCUUAGGUGUAAAGCUCUUUUACCCGGGAUGAUAAUGACAGUACCGGAGAAUAAGCUCCGGCUAACUCCGCGCCAGCAGCCGC